RNAcentral lists this non-coding RNA (653 nucleotides) under Schistosoma curassoni. Its description in RNAcentral is "Eukaryotic large subunit ribosomal RNA". It matches the Rfam family "Eukaryotic large subunit ribosomal RNA", at positions 675 to 1383 of the family's 3401-position model. Lineage: Eukaryota; Metazoa; Platyhelminthes; Trematoda; Strigeidida; Schistosomatidae. The record is from Rfam by way of RNAcentral.
UAAAUCUCUUACGUACUCGGUGUUUCAAAACCCAAAGGCGAAGUGAUGGCAAAGGUUCGACUUGUCCGGACUGAGGUGAAAUCCUGUUGUCUUGCUCAUACUUUCCAAGUUCCGAGCGGCAGGCGUAUUACCGGCCAAUCUCAUAGCAUAUUCAUGUGAUAUCGUGUUGUGUGCACCGUCGGGGCGGAGUAAGAGCGUAUACAUUGAGACCCGAAAGAUGGUGAGCCAUGCUUGCGAAGGUUGAAGCCAGAGGUAACUCUAGUGGAGGGCCGUAGUGAUUCUCACGUGCAAAUAAAUCGUAUAACGUGAGUAUGUUGGUGAAAGACUAAUCGAACCCGUUAGUGGUUGAUUCCCUCUGAAGGUUCCCUCAGGAUAGCUAACAUUCUGAGAAAUAAAUAUUUUUAUGCGGUAAAGCGAAUGAUAAGAAGCAUUGAGGAGAAAUCAACCUCAACCUAUUCUCAAGUGUUAAAUGAAUAUGAAGUUUAACUUGCUUAAUUGAAGUUUUGCAUUGAAUGUAAGUGCUAAGUAGGCAAUUUUUGGUAUAUAUAUUUAUAUAGGACUGAACGUGUUAAAAUACAGUUUGUUUUAUGUUCACCUAAUUAUUUCAUGUGAAAUUAUUUCAUUUAGAGAAUGAUUGUCAUUUUCUUACUGUU